ACUUACAAAUAGCCUGUACACAUGGUCCCAUACACCGCAAAUCAUCUCUAGAUUACCUAUAAUAUGUAAUACAACGUAAAUGCUUACACCAUAUUUUACAAUUUGUAUUAUUUUUUACUGUUGUAUUGUUAUCUUUUCCCCCAAAUAUUCUCUGUCUGCGAGCGGAGCGAGACCUUCCUGGAAGUGUGGGGGAAUGCGCUGCUGCGCCCGCCAGUGGCCGCCUUCGUGCGUGCCCAGGCCGACCUGCUGGCGCACCUGGUCCCCGAGCCCGACCGCCUGGAGGAACAGCUGCCCUGGCUCAGCCUCCGCGCCCUCAAGCGUGGGGAGCGCGUGGCAGCGCGCGGGUACUGGGGGGACAUCGCCACGGGGCCCUUCGUGGCCUUCGGCAUCGAAGCGGACGACGAGAGCCUCCUGCGGACCAGCAACGGCCAGCCAGUCAAGGUGCGCGGCGAGGCUGGGACUGGGGGUAGAGGUGGGGCUGGGGGGGUCGGUGGGUGC
Molecule: small RNA, 498 nt
Filed under: Pan troglodytes (chimpanzee)
Lineage: Eukaryota; Metazoa; Chordata; Mammalia; Primates; Hominidae
Description: processed transcript
Source: RNAcentral